GUGGAUCAAAAGGUAAAGAAAUUCAUCCCUUUUUUUCUUCCUCACUGGUUGAGCUGGGACAUUUCAUCUCAUCUUCUCCUGCACUCAAACUAGGAUUUACACCAUAGGCUCUCCGGUUCUCAGGUCUUUAGAUGUAGAUUGAAUUAUACCACUGGCCUUCUUGGUUUUCCAGAUUGCAGACAGCCGACUGUGGGUCUUUUCUGCCUCUAUCUAUCAUUGGGUGAACCAAUUCCCAAUAAUAAAUCUUCUCCUCUAGAGAACACUGACUAAUACAUGAAACUUCAAAAUGGUUCUCAAAGAUCCGCAGAGUUACAUGGAACAUGCUUUGAGAACUUCUGUUCUAAAUGAUUCCAC
Molecule: long non-coding RNA, 354 nt
Organism: Sapajus apella (tufted capuchin)
Lineage: Eukaryota; Metazoa; Chordata; Mammalia; Primates; Cebidae
Exons: 3
Source: RefSeq, a predicted model, not a curated record